CCUACGGGUGGCAGCAGUGGGGAAUAUUGCACAAUGGGGGAAACCCUGAUGCAGCGACGCCGCGUGAGCGAUGAAGUAUUUCGGUAUGUAAAGCUCUAUCAGCAGGGAAGUAAAUGACGGUACCUGUCUAAGAAGCCCCGGCUAACUACGUGCCAGCUGCCGCGGUAAUACGUAGGGGGCAAGCGUUAUCCGGAUUUACUGGGUGUAAAGGGAGCGUAGACGGCUGUGCAAGCCAGAUGUGAAAGCCCGGGGCUCAACCCCGGGACUGCAUUUGGAACUGUGUGGCUGGGGUGUCGGAGAGGCAGGCGGAAUUCCGAGUGUAGCGGUAAAAGGCGUAGAUAUUAGGAGGAACACCAGUGGCGAAGGCGGCCUGCUGGACGAUGACUGACGUUGAGGCUCGAAAGCGUGGGGAGCAAACAGGAUUAGAUACCCGGUAGUC
Molecule: ribosomal RNA, 439 nt
Filed under: uncultured bacterium
Lineage: Bacteria
Description: partial 16S ribosomal RNA
Rfam family: Bacterial small subunit ribosomal RNA
Source: RNAcentral